This 173-nucleotide unclassified non-coding RNA is filed under the name uncultured fungus. RNAcentral's name for it is "sequence contains ITS1, 5.8S rRNA gene". The record is from RNAcentral. Lineage: Eukaryota; Fungi.
CUGAGUGAGGGCCCUCUGGGUCCAACCUCCCACCCGUGUUUAUUGUACCUUGUUGCUUCGGUGCGCCCGCCUCACGGCCGCCGGGGGGCACCCGCCCCCGGGCCCGCGCCCGCCGAAGACACCAUUGAACGCUGUCUGAAGAUUGCAGUCUGAGUCUAAAUAUAAAUUAUUUA